CACUCCUGCGGGAGGCAGCAGUGGGGAAUAUUGGACGAUGGGCGCAAGCCUGAUCCAGCCAUGCCGCGUGAGUGAUGAAGGCCCUAGGGUUGUAAAGCUCUUUCACCGGUGAAGAUAAUGACGGUAACCGGAGAAGAAGCCCCGGCUAACUUCGUGCCAGCAGCCGCGGUAAUACGAAGGGGGCUAGCGUUGUUCGGAUUUACUGGGCGUAAAGCGCACGUAGGCGGACUAUUAAGUCAGGGGUGAAAUCCCGGGGCUCAACCCCGGAACUGCCUUUGAUACUGGUAGUCUUGAGUUCGAGAGAGGUGAGUGGAAUUCCGAGUGUAGAGGUGAAAUUCGUAGAUAUUCGGAGGAACACCAGUGGCGAAGGCGGCUCACUGGCUCGAUACUGACGCUGAGGUGCGAAAGCGUGGGGAGCAAACAGGAUUAGAAACCCCGGUAGUCCCA
Molecule: ribosomal RNA, 447 nt
Filed under: uncultured organism
Description: partial 16S ribosomal RNA
Rfam family: Bacterial small subunit ribosomal RNA
Source: RNAcentral